Molecule: ribosomal RNA, 254 nt
Filed under: uncultured bacterium
Lineage: Bacteria
Description: partial 16S ribosomal RNA
Rfam family: Bacterial small subunit ribosomal RNA
Source: RNAcentral
CACGUAGGGGGCAAGCGUUGUCCGGAUUUAUUGGGCGUAAAGAGCUCGUAGGCGGUUGCGUAAGUCGGAUGUGAAAACUCAGGGCUCAACCCUGAGAUGCCAUCCGAUACUGCGCUGACUAGAGUCCGGUAGAGGAGCAUGGAAUUCCUGGUGUAGCGGUGAAAUGCGCAGAUAUCAGGAGGAACACCAGUAGCGAAGGCGGUGCUCUGGGCCGGUACUGACGCUGAGGAGCGAAAGCAUGGGUAGCAAACAGG